Molecule: ribosomal RNA, 608 nt
Filed under: cf. Botryobasidium sp. 6 LR-2015
Lineage: Eukaryota; Fungi; Basidiomycota; Agaricomycetes; Cantharellales; Botryobasidiaceae
Description: eukaryotic LSU rRNA
Rfam family: 5.8S ribosomal RNA (bases 193-346)
Source: RNAcentral
UCAUUAAUGAAAAUGUGCGCUCGGGAGGGUUGUGCUGGCGCCUGGCGCAUGUGCACGCCCACCCUUGCCGUCCAUCCACUCACACCUGUGCACACCGCUCGUCGGACGGGGGCCCUGCGCCCAUGUCCGACGCACUUCACAUCAGCCCGAGUGUCUUAUCGAAUGUAAAUUGCGUAAAUGCAACCGAAAUACAACUUUUAACAACGGAUCUCUUGGUUCUCGCAUCGAUGAAGAACGCAGCGAAAUGCGAUAAGUAAUGUGAAUUGCAGAAUUCAGUGAAUCAUCGAAUCUUUGAACGCACCUUGCGCUCCUUGGUAUUCCGAGGAGCAUGCCCGUUUGAGUGUCUUGAUAUCAUCGAGCCCACCCCGCUUCUGGUGGGGUUGUGCUCGGACUUGGAUGUGCUGCCGGGCGGCAACGCUCGGCUCAUCCCGAAUGCAUUAGCUGGAUUUUCCUGGCCUUGGACUUUUGGUUCUCACUCGGCGUGAUAAGAUCACCCGUCGAGGACGUCCCUCGCCUCAUGGACCGGCUCCCAACCGUCCCUCGUGGACAACACAUUGACAAUCUGACCUCAAAUCGGGUAGGACUACCCGCUGAACUUAAGCAUAUCA